UUAUUUUACAAUGUCCAUUUACACUUUCACUGUAUAUUUAAAAUGCUGAUGCCAUGUUAUAUAUACCUUCCCUCACAACCCUCAUAAACAACUCACAUAAACUGGGCAGGGAUGGUAUCACUUUUUACAGCAGCAGAAACUGAGGCUCACAGGGAUUAAAUAAUGGUCUGUGGCUCCCAAAAUAGUUGCCAGAACUACAUUUAGAGUGUCUUAUUCACUAAUAUUAUAACCUUCUAAAAAAUGAGGGGAAGAGAAAGAGAGAAGCUUAAACAAGUAAGAAUAUGUAUCCAAGACAGAAAGCCUACAGGAAAUGAUGGGGGGGGUGGGGAUAAAAUUAUUUUCACUUUGCAUAUAGGAAAGCUGUUCUGUCUGUGUAUUGGAGGCCAAUAGAGUAGCAUAGCACCAUGUCACUCCUGACAGGAAGGGCUGGGAGCUUAAACUUCAUAUAACCAGUAUCCAGUGCAAGCGGUGCUUAGUGAACAAGUAAAUCGCUGAAUGUUCAGAGCCUUCAGCACAGGAAAAACUUGCUAACAAAGUAAGGGGGAAAAUAGUUUUAUCUUUGGAGAUGGUAGUUAGCUUUUGGCAUUGUAAAUAGACUAAUCACCAUAGGAAAUGUUUCUAUACUGAUACUGUUGUAUGCUAUCAGGAAAUUCAGAAAAUAUCAAGGGGUGUGCUAUACUGUAAACCAAAAACUUACAAAUUUUUUUUUCCCUUUUUUCAGCCACCUCCCGGGGGCAUAUGGAAGUUCCUGGGCUAGGGACUAAAUCUGAGUGGGAGCUGUGACCUACACCACAGUUGCAGCAAUGCCUAACCCACUGGGCAGACUAGGGAUCAAAUCAGGGCCUCCACAGAGACAAGCUGGAUCAUUAACACACUGUGCCACAGCAGAAACUCCAAAACCGGCAAUUUUAAUACUCUAAAGAACCGAGUAAAUAAUGUCAAGGGUUUAUAUGUAAAAAGAUUAGCAACAGUUGCAUCUUGGGUAAUAGGCAUGUUCAGGACAAGUUGUUCAAAUCAAAUCUUACUUGGAGAUUAAUACAAUACCCUACUGUUGCCAUCACUGCUGCAGUAGGAGUAACUGGGAUAGCAGGGGUGAAGUGGACAACAGAAAAAUCAAGAGUUCACAAGCUUUAAUUUAUAAGCAUUUAUUAAUGCUAGAGUACAUAUCCCAGUAUCUGAAUAAGCUAUACUGAAAAGUAUGCAUACCAUCAAUUGCAAUGAAAAUACUUAAUGGAGAGGGUCAGAAAAAGACUCUUAUUAUGUGUAUACAAAUCUGAUGUAUAUUAUUGUACUUAAUAUCGUUAGGUACAGAUUCAAAUUCAACUGAUAGUUCUGGUUCAAAUUCGACUAUACAGAUAGUUUGAGAGACCAAUGGUUAUCUUAUGUUUUUUGACAGAAGUUCUCAAUAGGAAAACUUCAUAAGUCAUUUCCGUGCCCCUAUGGGAGAAAGCUGACUGUGCUUUCUUAGAAUUGGUGUACAGCUUUGGAAAAUCCUGAGUCUGAGGGUGCAUCCCAAAUUAAUCUGAGGGGGUACAGCCCAGCCUUGGUAUCAAUUUUAGAGUCCCAGUCUUUCCUAACACUCAGCUAAGGUUGACAACCAUUGCAUUUAUCUCAGAGGGAAAAAAAAUCACCUGCCUUAAGAUACUUCAUUUUAUUCACUUACUUUGACAAGGAAAAGUUUUAAAGUAAAGGAAUUUAAACAGAUUCAAACAAUCCAAUGGUAAAGAUACCAGGAGAAUAUUUAGUAACUUUCCUUUAGUGACUCAGUAGCACUUACAAGGUGGUUUUCAGCAUCUGAGUGGCAACCACCUGUGUGGACACAGGUACCACCUUGACCUCUAUUUGGAGAGACCUGUGGUGACAUCCUGGCUCUCAUGGUGUCCUUCCCACAGAUCAUGACACCGUUGGGCUGCUACUCAGAGAAAAAAUAGAGGAAAGGAGAAUGAACACUUAGAAACCUUUGCAGCAACUUGAGAGUCAUCUUGAGCCAUUUUACGUCCUUUUACGUCACUGUAGAUCGUAAACCAUCCAGUCACAGUCGAGAGGCCCCAGCUGGAGGGUGGAGGCCACACCCACCAACUCUACUGGGCAGUCAGCGCCCCUCCAGAGGGACCUGUCACCUCCCUGCUUCCCAUAACUUGCCCCUUAUGCUUCAAGCAUGUAAACUACCAACCAUUACUCUCAAAACUCCCAUCAUUUCACUUCUCAGCACACAUUCCCUCUUUGUGAAAAGACUUUUCCAGCCUACCAGCAAACACCCAUCCCUCCCACAAGACUGGGCACAGGCCUCCUAUGUCCCGAGACACCCCGUCCUUCUGUAUCCUCUCUCCCUGCUCUGUGCGAUCAUUUGCCCCCAGGCUUCCACCCUAACCAAGUCUACGCUUUAGGAGCAAGGACUAUGCCUUCCGCACCUCUGCGGGUCAGUCUGGCAGAAGCCUGGCACCUGGCAGGCCAACCAGCAAUACGGUGAUUAAAAUCCCUAACAUGAAAACCUCUCAAAGGCAGAUUCUCCAUUCCCCCCCAGCACACACCCGAUUAUUCAGCUCGAUAUUUCUCAAACUGGAUUUUGCCACCAUCUUCUGGGGACACCAGACCUCAUGCUUGAGAAACACUCACCUAGAUUCUGAUCAGGCUUCAGGUUACGGUCACCACAUCCAUUAAAAAAAAAUCUGUGUACUGGAAAAUGUCACUGCUUCUCGAGCUCAUUAACAGGCUAAUACAGUCAUAGUUAAAGUACAACCGGAUUGUUCUCAGGAAAUCUGGAGAGGUGGUUCUAUUUUACCCACAAAAAAAUCAGGCAGAAAGGUUCUUUUUUAAGGAUGAAGAAAUUUGAUCAGAUAUUUAAAACAUAAAGAACAUUUUAAGCAUAGAACUGGGUAUAGAAUAAAAGACUAAACAGACACUGUCACAGAGUUUUAACUGUAAAAAUAUUAAAAUUGUAAGAAAAUAUUCUUACCAUCUAAUAUUGAACAGGGAAACAUAUUCUAAGCCAAAAAAACCAAACCAAAACAGAAAAACCCCUCUUCAAUAAAAAAAAGAAGUCACAGGGGAAAAAAAAGAGAAGUUGAAGAAGUCACAGGAGGUCCCUAGUGGCUGAGUGGGUUAAGGACUUGGCAUUGUCAAUGCUGUGAUGUGGUCCCUGGCCUGGGAACUUCCGCCUGUUGCAGGCAUGGCCAAAAAAAAAAAGGAGGAGGAGAAACAGAGAAAACUACUGAAGGAUUUGGCUGACUAAAUAUACAAACGUUAUAUGUUUGUAUACCUGAAAACAUCAAAAGCAAGUAGAGAAGCAAAACACAAAAUGGAAGAAUAUAUUUGUAACAUCUACUAUGGUGGAUAAAAAGGAAUGUUCUUUGUAUAUAAAGAAUAUUAAAAAAAAUAAGAAACAAGAAAAAACUUUAUUUUUAUUUAUUUUUUGUCUUUUUGCCUUUUCCAGGGCCACUUCCGAGGCACAUGAAGAUUCCCAGGCUAGGGAUCUAAUCGGAGCCAUAGCCACCGGCCUACACCAGAGCCACAGCAACACGGGAUCUGAGCUGCGUCUGCAACCUACACCACAGCUCACAGCAAGUUGUGGCUGUGGCCAGUGGCUAAUGCUCCAAUUUGACCCCUAGCCUGGGAAUUUCCAUAUGCCGAAGGUGCGGCCCUAAAAAGCCAAAAAAAUAUAAAGAAAAGGCAUUUCAAUUUUAUUUAAUGCUGGCGAGGUGAGAUGCCAUUGGGAUUUGUAUCACUGCUAGUGAACAUGUAAGCUGGUCACACUUUUCUACUAGCAAUCAGCAUACACAUCAAGUUGUUUGUUGUGCUGAAAAUGUUCGCACCCUUUCCCCUACAUUGGACUCUACUAGAACUCUCUUUAAAAAUAUAUAUAUGACGUGGUCAAAGAAUUACAUAAAGAUACAAUAGCUUCUAUUCAUAAUAAUGAAAACUUAAAAACCUAAAAGUCCAAAAUUAAAGGAAUGCAUAAAACAACACUGUAUCAAUGACAGAAUAGUAUGCCACCAUUAUAAUUCCUUCUAAAACAUAAUGACAGGAGGAAAGGUUAAACUCAAAAUGUAUGAUAAUAGUACUACAUGUGUUAACUGAAAACAACAAAAAUAAGUUAUAAAAGUAGUAUGAACACUAAAUACCAAUUUUGCUUAUGUAUUUAUGAGUAUACACACACACACAUAUAUAAAUAUACACAUGUAUUUUAAAAACUGGAAAGCAUACCAAAAUGUUAGGAGUGCCUAUCUUUGAGGAGUGGGCAAUUUUCACAUUUUUCUAUAACUCUAAUUUACUUAAAAAAGCUAUAUUCCUUAUAUAAUUAAAGGGAGAGUGGAGGGAAAUUCUCCACUUUUUAAAAGGCAAGCACAUAGUGAGAAAAUAAGUCUUGGUAAGGAAUAAGCAAUGGAUCAUAUUAUCUAAUUUUUGAACAGCAUAUGUCCUUUGAUUUAAACUUAACAACUAAAGAUUAAAAAUUUCAAACACUAGGAGUUCCAUGGUGGCUCAGUGAGUUAAGGACUCAGUGUCUCUCUAUGAGGAUGUGGGUUCAAUUCCUGGCCUCACUCAGUGAGUUAAGGAU
This 4555-nucleotide long non-coding RNA is filed under the name Sus scrofa (pig). RNAcentral describes it as "lncRNA (ENSSSCG00065031339.1)". The record is from RNAcentral. Lineage: Eukaryota; Metazoa; Chordata; Mammalia; Artiodactyla; Suidae.